CACGUAGGGUGCGAGCGUUGUCCGGAAUUAUUGGGCGUAAAGAGCUCGUAGGCGGUGUGUCGCGUCGGCCGUGAAAACCUGCAGCUUAACUGUGGGCGUGCGGUCGAUACGGGCAUCACUGGAGUUCGGCAGGGGAGACUGGAAUUCCUGGUGUAGCGGUGAAAUGCGUAGAUAUCAGGAGGAACACCUGUGGCGAAGGCGUCCAUCUGGCCCGUUACUGACGCUGAUGCGCGAAAGCUAGGGGAGCAAACGGG
Molecule: ribosomal RNA, 254 nt
Filed under: uncultured bacterium
Lineage: Bacteria
Description: partial 16S ribosomal RNA
Rfam family: Bacterial small subunit ribosomal RNA
Source: RNAcentral